RNAcentral lists this unclassified non-coding RNA (279 nucleotides) under uncultured fungus. RNAcentral's name for it is "sequence contains ITS1". The stretch from base 1 to 117 matches the Rfam family "5.8S ribosomal RNA", at positions 49 to 154 of the family's 154-position model. Lineage: Eukaryota; Fungi. The record is from RNAcentral.
UGAAAGGCGAAACGUAAUGUGAAUCGCAACUAACAGUGAAUCAUCGAAUCUUUGAACGCAGGCCGCACCCAGCAAUAUCAUUAUGUGUUAUUACUGGGUAUCUACGUAUGAGUGUCAGCCCAAUAUCUCUUCAGUUCACGAUGAUGAUUUAAAGAAAUUUUAAAUCAAUUUGUGAGCUUUAUCUUGGACUCUCUAAGUAAAUAUUUAUUUAUUUUCUUUAAGAGUCUUUCAUAUUUUAUUGACUGGCCUCAUAUGUGGAAGAUUACCCGCUGGAUUUAA